GGUUAAGUGACUAAGCGUACACGGUGGAUGCCUUGGCAGUCAGAGGCGAUGAAAGACGUAGUAACUUGCGAUAAGCCCAGAUUAGGUAGUAACAACCAUUUGAGUCUGGGAUUUCUGAAUGGGGAAACCCACGUGCAUAAGCACGUAUCCUUACCUGAAUACAUAGGGUAAGGAGGCGAACCGGGGGAACUGAAACAUCUAAGUACCCCGAGGAAAAGAAAUCAACCGAGAUUCCGAAAGUAGCGGCGAGCGAAAUUGGACUAGCCCUUAAGCUUUACACGCGUUAGACGAACGGUCUGGAAAGUCCGACGAUACAGGGUGAUAGUCCCGUAGUUGACGACGUGUGUUCAGUGAAAUCGAGUAGGGCGGGACACGUGAUAUCCUGUCUGAAUAUGGGGGGACCAUCCUCCAAGGCUAAAUACUACUGACUGACCGAUAGUGAACCAGUACCGUGAGGGAAAGGCGAAAAGAACCCCUGUGAGGGGAGUGAAAUAGAACCUGAAACCGUGUACGUACAAGCAGUAGGAGCAGGCUUUGUCCUGUGACUGCGUACCUUUUGUAUAAUGGGUCAGCGACUUAUAUUCAGUGGCAAGGUUAACCAUCUAGGGGAGCCGUAGGGAAACCGAGUCUUAACUGGGCGUUCAGUCUCUGGAUAUAGACCCGAAACCAGGUGAUCUAGCCAUGGGCAGGUUGAAGGUUGAGUAACAUCAACUGGAGGACCGAACCGACUAAUGUUGAAAAAUUAGCGGAUGACUUGUGGCUAGGGGUGAAAGGCCAAUCAAACCUGGAGAUAGCUGGUUCUCCCCGAAAGCUAUUUAGGUAGCGCCUCGGACGAAUACUACUGGGGGUAGAGCACUGUUAAGGCUAGGGGGUCAUCCCGACUUACCAACCCUUUGCAAACUCCGAAUACCAGUAAGUACUAUCCGGGAGACACACGGCGGGUGCUAACGUCCGUCGUGGAGAGGGAAACAACCCAGACCGCCAGCUAAGGUCCCAAAUUACUACUAAGUGGGAAACGAUGUGGGAAGGCUCAGACAGCCAGGAUGUUGGCUUAGAAGCAGCCAUCAUUUAAAGAAAGCGUAAUAGCUCACUGGUCGAGUCGGCCUGCGCGGAAGAUGUAACGGGGCUAAGUAGUAAACCGAAGCUGCGGCAAUAUACUUUUGUAUAUUGGGUAGGGGAGCGUUCUGUAAGCGGUUGAAGGUGUGUGGUAACGCAUGCUGGACGUAUCAGAAGUGCGAAUGCUGACAUGAGUAAC
This 1255-nucleotide ribosomal RNA is filed under the name Vibrio parahaemolyticus. RNAcentral's name for it is "partial 23S ribosomal RNA". It matches the Rfam family "Bacterial large subunit ribosomal RNA", at positions 1 to 1310 of the family's 2925-position model. Lineage: Bacteria; Pseudomonadati; Pseudomonadota; Gammaproteobacteria; Vibrionales; Vibrionaceae. The record is from RNAcentral.